Long non-coding RNA from Bombus huntii, 5732 nucleotides. RefSeq lists it as uncharacterized. The record is from RefSeq and is a predicted model, not a curated record. The transcript has 10 exons. NCBI's taxonomy places the organism in Eukaryota, Metazoa, Arthropoda, Insecta, Hymenoptera, Apidae.
UAGCACGGGGUAGCUGCGAGUCUGCUCCGGAGAGCCUGGUCGCGGUUGCUGGACCAUCAUCGAGCUAGUUAAUUCGGAAUGAACAACUAGUCGUGAGGCUGUGAGGCUAGUAUUCGGGUUGGGGUUAGGUGCGUGGGAUUUUCUUCUCCCUAAAGGGUAAGGGACACUUAGCUGUGUUCUCUUUCGACGGUUGGGCGACACGUGUUGUUUUCGGACUACGCUGGGCACUAGAGACACGUCUGCACGCUUCGGCACUCCACAGCGAACUGAGCCCAAGCUCACUAUCAUAAAUCUGGAACAAAUACAAUCGGAUUGAAUGGCGGCAAUCGCUUAAUUACGGCUAUGGUAGAAUCUAGAUUAAAGUGUUAAGGGACUUUCCCAAAAUUCCAAAGGAGAGGCUCCGGUGUCCUUUCAUCUCUGAUAUAUAUAUAUAUAUGCUCAGAUUUCAGAGCUUAGUUUUAGGAGUAAUGUAAUAUCGUAAGGUAGUUCGAAUUAGAAAUCAGUUGAAAAUAGAUAAAACCGAGUACGUCGUCUUUCUGUGGUUCGUUUACAUUUAAGAGUGCCUGCGUGACUAAAGGCACGUAGUUGGUAGUUCUUACAUAGGUAUGAGGGAAACAAUAGACAACGUUAGAAGAAGGACGGUUUCGCUAUCCAAGGCGGGACGACCGAAAGAUCAGAGUGUGCGAGUCGAAAAGUGUGCGUGUUGCGAGAAUCAGAGCUAAUUGAGUCGUCGAAGAGUAGAGUCGUUAGAGGUAAUCGAGUCGUCGAAGAGUAGAGUCGUGAGAAUUGAUAGAGUUGUUAGAGAGAGAGAGUGUGUGUGUGUGUGUUAGAUUCGUUGUGACGAGGGUGGUCAAAUAACUGUAAAGUUAUUUGAUAUAGAUACGAGUAUUGCAUUUAGUUUCCGUUAAAUAAACAUCGUUUUCUGUCCAAUUUAUAUUUGUAUAUUCAAUUUAAUAUUAAUAAAUUGUAAGUAAUCGGAAAAAAAAUUCUAUCCUUAUUUCCACGAUAUUACAGUAAUAUAUUGUAUUUCCCAGAUUACUUUCAUUAAUAUUCGUCUUAAGACAUUAAUAACACUCAAUUUUAAUUUUAUCAAAGCAAAAUAAAUAUUUUUGUUUAAUUAAAACUCUACUCCUAAAAAAAUAAAACUUUUCUAUUUAUGCAAAAUUGCAUGCAAUAAAAGUUUCAAUGAAUACACUUCGUUUUGUAACUGUUUUCUUCAAUCAGAAAAGAUAACGGCCAAAAAAUUAUUGUUAUUCCACAACUAAUUGGAAAUUUUGACAGUUUAAUUCGAUCAUUGGAUCGAUUACACGUACGGUGAUUUUUCAAAUUCGGAAUCAGUUACAGACCUAACUGAAGAGUUAAGCCCUGCGAUGUGUAGUUGGUCCAGGGACAGUGUGGCAAAUCUAUUCGUUCAACGCUGAUUGGUUCCGCCAUUUAUAAAAGCGCUUCCUGCAGCAGUUAUGUAUAGAUUGGUAUAAAUAUAAAUGUAUGAAGUAUACGUUUACAAAGUUGUCUGUAAACAAAGUGUAAUAAUAUUUACCGUGUAUUGGAGUGUAUAUAACGACGGAAAUAAAGAAUAAUAAGAAAAAUCAUCAUAGAGAACAUACAGAAUUAACAUUUAAGUUUGGAACGUUAGUUCAAAUGCCUGAUUACUCAGCCAAGGGAUGCAGAAACAAGUCAAAGAGUGGCCAUAGUUGUACACACAGGUCUGUUAACUGCUGUAAAGGAGAUAAGGUUCUUAAUGUCGCAAGAUGUACUUUACCAAUCGGCCACCAUUGAACACUGCGAUCGAGUAGCUAGGGUUUUGUGUUUGGCGCCAUUCUUCGGUGAAAGCACUAAAGCAGAUACAUCUACAAUACUCCAUUUAUUACAGAAAGCAUUGUUUAAAUGAAUAUUAAUUAUGAACCAUUAUUAAACAUGCAUUAUUAUUACCAACAAACAAGUUUAACAAGACCACAAUUUUCAAAUUAAAUAUGUACACAUAUCUUUAAUGCUUUUACAUUUGACGCAUAUAUUGGAAAACGUAGCAGUAUAUGCACCACUGCGAACAGGCAGUACAUUGACAGAGAUUAUAGAAGUAGCAUUGGCAACUACUACUUAUGAACCAAAUAACAGGCAAACAAAAAUAAUUCCGCAAGACUUUCUUGACAAAAUCAGAGGAAAAAAGAUUCACUUUCUGCGUACGAGAAUUCCAACUAUUUCCUAUGGAAAGCCACGAACAAAAUAAAGGAGCCAAUUAAACUAAUCCCAGCAAUCAGAUUAACGGACAACACAUGAGCCAGAAGCAACGAAGAGCAAGCUGAAGAAUUUUCCAACCACCUUUGUUGAAGUUAUCUCUUCGAGGAACGCGUGAUGAAUGUGUAACAGAAAUAUAUUUAAGUAUAAGUGUAACUCGUUACAUUACAACAGAGCUUCGAAGCCAUGAGUCUAUGGGUAUUUAUAUAAUUACGAAAACUGGCCGGUCUAUAUAUACCCUGCUGCACCAUCUGUGCAUGGCAUAUUCCUAAAAAAGGCUAUGAGACUGAGAGGCCCUUCAAAUUGAUUUAGAGCUAAACAAUACUCAAUAGCAUCGGGGACUAAGAGAACUAAACGCUAGAGAAGAUGUAGUUUUCCUAGAAACCUAAUUUUUGUCGUAAAUAUUGAAAUCUUGGUUUCGGUAACGCCUUCGUAAAUAUAUCUGCUUGUUACGUCCGGCGACUCUCUACACAAAGCAGACUCCACGCCACAACCAUACCGUCGACCGAUGGGUCCGCGGUAGAAAACGGUAACAAGGAAGAAUGGCCGCAGGAAAUCCCUGACUCCUAAAGCCGCGAGCAAGGUGGUUGGAGCGGAGGAAGCGGCGAUUGAAGCCAUGAACUUAGGUGAUUAAGAUUAAGGGUACGCACCCUCCAGAACAAUCUGGGACAGUCAAGACCUGCUUUUCCAAACCAUUCUGGAGAGCACGGUUGCCCUAGCGGUGGUGGCCGAGCCAUACAGAGUCCUGGACGCUCCGGACUGCGCCGGAGAUACAGACGGCUGUCACCUGGACAUCAGCGCCGGCAUCGUCCGCCCACAGGGAUCCUCUGGAGCGCGGCAACGGAUACGCAGCGGUCGAAUGGUCAGGAAUGGUGGUAGUGGCCGUGUAUGUGUCGCCCAACAGCGAAUGGACAGCGUUCGAGGAGUUCUUGAACGGGGUAGACGACUGCCAUUACGAUUACGAGAUAUAGUAUUACGUUAUAAUACAUUACAUUAUAACGUAUUCCGUUAAAUUGAAUUACGUUAUAUCAUAUUACGUUUUGCCGUUCCUUCACAUACUGAGCAGAAGGCGAACGUUACCAUGAUCGCGGACGGAUAUUAAGACAGGCGGAGUGGGGAUAUGGUAAGAAUAGAAAGGGAGGCAAGUGGAUCAACACAGCAGUUGCCCGUAACCAGUCGUCAGUAGGAAUCGCAACCAGAGAUUUCUGAAGAAGUCGCUGGUCAAGAAAGCAAACGAACUGCGGAACGAAGCGCCGCGUAUUAAGUUGGCAGCCUUCACGUAAUAGAGUACAUUCAGUAAUAUAGUAUUACGUUAUAUAUUAUAACGCUAUAACGCAUUACGUUAUAAAGUAUAGCGUUAUAACGUACUACGUUAUAUAGUAUUACGUAAUAUGGAAAUAACGUAUUACGUUAUAUAGUAUAAGUAAAAUCCAAUGCAACCACAGCUAUCAAUAUUGAAGAUUAAAUAUGUAAUUGAACGAAUCUCCGCUUCCGUUGAGGAUAUGUAGACAAUUCGAUGCUCGUUAUACUCCACGUUUGAUGCCAAAUACAACGCACAUCAUCUGGUUUGCGCUAUGUCCACUCUUUUCCUGUCAAAUCCGAUGCAAUUAUAAUUUUUAAUGCUCAAGGCUAAAUAUUCAAUUCUACGAAUCUCCGCUGCUAUUGGACAAAUUUCGACAAUUCGAUACGCGUUGUACUCCACAUUUGCUGUUUUACACAGCGCACAUCAGUCGGUUUGCACUAUGUCAUCUCUUUUCCCUGUCAAAUCCGAUGCAGUUAGAAUUUUUAAUGCUCAAGGGGUAAAUAUUGAAUUCUACGAAUCUCCGCUACUACUCAGGAUACAGAGGCAGUUCGAUGCGCAUUGUACUCCGUAUUGGCUGCUUUAUACAGCGCACAUCAGCUGAUUUGCACUGUGUUAAUCCUGGACCCUGUCAAAUCCAAUGGAGUUAGAACUUUUAAUUCUCGAGGCUAAAUAUUGAUCUCCGCUGUUAUUAGGGAUACCUAGGCAUGUUGGGUCCCAAAGGUGCUAGUGGUAUCAUUGCACUGUUCACGCCCAGUAGUGCCAAGUGCCAACUCCUCCUCCAAGUCGGUGGGGCUGGUAAAUACUGACUUGUCAGUGGCUACGUGGAUGGCGACGUGGCUUAAGAACUCAUCCUGCCCGAGGAAGAGAACAUGCAUCAUGGCGUAAACAAUCACACGUCGCAGACCCGAUCGGGUGUCGUGGCGGGUUAAGCCUUUCGUUACUGGCGGCUUCUCCUGCGUCACAAGCGCUCUGCGCCAAAAAGAAAAAACUUUCCUCGAAACAGGGUAUUUAUAACUUCUUAACACACUCACUUUUAAUUGAAAUUUGGGUAGGCCUACUUUGGGGGGGGGGGGGGGGGACAAUCGUCUCCCCUAACGCCACAUUUAGUUAGUUAGUUCAUAGGAUAGGCCUAACGAGAAGACGCGGGGAGUGUACCGGCAGUAAUUUCCAAGAGGUCUCGGACACUGCUGCCAAACGUGUAGGUUGGCCACCGUGGAGUUUUUGUCAGUAGGAGUUUUGUCUGGCACUACUCCACUAAUUCUCCAGAAUGCAGCGGAGUGUCCAUGAGGAUUUCUCCACGUAGAAGAAAAAAAGAAAGAAGGUGUUGAAGCAUAUAAAUAGGUGAUAUAUCGUAUUUCAAUUCUUUGAAUUUUGUUUGAAUUAUUGUUAAUUACAAUCACAAUUUCUGAUAAUAUCAUGCACACGAUUAAGUGUAACCACGCUCUUAAUCGUCAUCGUUGUCAAUUACAAUUAUAAUUCCAAGUUUACUUACAUUCAUUUUAACGAAACCAAUGUUUAUUGCUAGAACACGCGCAUAUUCGUACAACGAUGUUAAAAAUCUGAGCGUAAUGGAAAUGUACGUACAGCAGAUACUCACAGGAAAAACCAACGAGACUAAUAAUAAAAUCAAUGAAUUAGAAAAAAAGAGCUAUAGACAAAUAUCUUAUAAUAUACCGUGGCAUAAUCUGCAAUUUAUUAUAAAAUAAUUGAUCCCAGCAGUAUCAAUUAUAAAAGAAGAUGGCUGAAUAUGAUAGACACUGUCGAAUACUAAUCAAAUAUAAUCAUUUAGUUAAUCUUUAAGAUUUAAGUUAAGAUACAUCUUUGAGGAAUCAAUAAGUCUUUCGCUAAUAGCCUAAUAGAUCCCUUGAUAGAUCAAACGAAGAAAUACCUAACCGCGAUUACAGCCAAUUGGUACAUAUUAUUCGAUACAUAAUUAAUAUCUGUAUCGCGUACAGCGAUGCAAGUGGUAUUGAAGAAAAUAGCCAUUUUAUGUUACAACUAUAACGAGUAAAUUUACUCGUUUAACUUGAGAGGAAUUAAAAAGGUACCUGACUUUUAAAUAAGCAUUAAAUAAGAAAUUUAAAUAUCGCAGACGGUGAUGUAGGUGUUAUUCAAGAAAAGAGAACAUUUUAUUUUGUAAUUAGCACGACUAAAUGAACGAAUAUCGAUAAUAUAAUAUAAUGAUUAAUAUGAA